RNAcentral lists this ribosomal RNA (396 nucleotides) under uncultured bacterium. RNAcentral describes it as "bacterial SSU rRNA". It matches the Rfam family "Bacterial small subunit ribosomal RNA", at positions 358 to 771 of the family's 1533-position model. The record is from RNAcentral.
GGAAUAUUGGACAAUGGGGGAAACCCUGAUCCAGCCGUGCCGCGUGAGUGAAGAAGGCCCUAGGGUUGUAAAGCUCUUUCGCACGCGACGAUGAUGACGGUAGCGUGAGAAGAAGCCACGGCCAACUUCGUGCCAGCAGCCGCGGUAAUACGGAGGGGGCAAGCGUUGUUCGGAUUUACUGGGCGUAACGGGCGCGUAGGCGGAUUCGUAAGUCAGAGGUGAAAGCCCUGGGCUCAACCCGGGAAUGGCCUUUGAGACUGCGAGUCUUGAGUGCGAGAGAGGGUGGCGGAAUACCCAGUGUAGAGGUGAAAUUCGUAGAUAUUGGGUAGAACACCAGUGGCGAAGGCGGCCACCUGGCUCGCAACUGACGCUGAGGCGCGAAAGCGUGGGGAGCAA